Molecule: ribosomal RNA, 429 nt
Filed under: Chloroflexota bacterium
Lineage: Bacteria; Bacillati; Chloroflexota
Description: Chloroflexi bacterium partial 16S ribosomal RNA
Rfam family: Bacterial small subunit ribosomal RNA
Source: RNAcentral
UGGGGAAUAUUGCACAAUUGGCGCAAGCCUGAUGCAGCCAUGCCGCGUGUAUGAAGAAGGCCUUCGGGUUGUAAAGUACUUUCAGCGGGGAGGAAGGGAGUAAAGUUAAUACCUUUGCUCAUUGACGUUACCCGCAGAAGAAGCACCGGCUAACUCCGUGCCAGCAGCCGCGGUAAUACGGAGGGUGCAAGCGUUAAUCGGAAUUACUGGGCGUAAAGCGCACGCAGGCGGUUUGUUAAGUCAGAUGUGAAAUCCCCGGGCUCAACCUGGGAACUGCAUCUGAUACUGGCAAGCUGGAGUCUCGUAGAGGGGGGUAGAAUUCCAGGUGUAGCGGUGAAAUGCGUAGAGAUCUGGAGGAAUACCGGUGGCGAAGGCGGCCCCCUAGACGAAGACUAACGCUCAGGUGCGAAAGCGUGGGGAGCAAACAGG